This 443-nucleotide ribosomal RNA is filed under the name uncultured bacterium. Its description in RNAcentral is "partial 16S ribosomal RNA". It matches the Rfam family "Bacterial small subunit ribosomal RNA", at positions 338 to 795 of the family's 1533-position model. The record is from RNAcentral.
CCUACGGGUGGCAGCAGUCGGGAAUAUUGGGCAAUGGGCGCAAGCCUGACGCAGCAACGCCGCGUGAAGGAAGAAGGCUUUCGGGUUGUAAACUUCUGUUCUCAGGGACGAAGCAAGUGACGAUACGUGAGGAAUGAGCCACGGCUAACUACGUGCCAGCAGCCGCGGUUAUACGUAGGGGGCAAGCGUUAUCCGGAUUUACUGGGUGUAAAGUGCGUGUAGGCGGGAAAGCAAGUCAGAUGUGAACACCCUGGGCUCAACUUGUGAACUGCAUUUAAAACUUUUUUUCUUGAGUACUGGAGAGGAAGACGGAAUUCCUAGUGUAGCGGUGAAAUGCGUAGAUAUUAGGAGGAACACCAGUGGCGAAGGCGGUCUUCUGGACAGUAACUGACGCUGAGGCGCGAAAGCGUGGGGAGCAAACAGGAUUAGAUACCCGGGUAGUC